AGCUCUGUGUGUGUUAAAGAAAAAAACUACACUGCUGAUCAUAACAUGCAGGAGCUAAUCUAGGUAAGCAGUUAAGCAAUUAAGUUUGGACCACACCCAGUGAGGUGUGGCUGUUUGUGUAUUAGCUUCUGCUCCUGCUUUUGGUUUCGCUUUUGCUUUUGGAUCUCUCUCUUUUGGAAGAAGAGGCUGAAGAAGCCAUGCUCUUUGUAUUGCAAUGCUUCUUGGAUCUUGAAAUGCUUACAAGGGCUAUUUUCAAUCACUUGUCUGGAGGCUGCAGAUGAUGUGGAAGCUUGUUAGCAGGUGUUGAUGAUACAGAAAGGAGGAUGGAUAUGAUAUAUUUUCUGAAAUAUUUUCUGGUUACUGAUGAACCACUGGGCCCAAUUCAAGGAGUUAGCAGCUGUUGUGCAAAUCCUUUAAUCCCCUUUCAGCUGUGAAGGGCUGACUCCCCCAAGAUUUAACAAGCCUAAACUGUGAAGGGCCAAAUCCCCGAGGAUUGAACAAGCCAAGAAGAAUCUACUUGUAGUUACUUGAAGUAGUGUGACAACACAUAGCAUGACUUUCUUCAUGUUGGCACAAAAAUGAUGGAACUUCCAUUAAAAAUUGUCCCCUACAACCUUGUUUUUCUGGUGAGAAUUAAAACAUAAUUAUACAAGCUUUCAGAGAAGGAACAAAAGUUUGAUAUAUCUUUUAGGGCU
This 695-nucleotide long non-coding RNA is filed under the name Anolis carolinensis (green anole). RNAcentral's name for it is "lncRNA (ENSACAG00000044915.1)". Lineage: Eukaryota; Metazoa; Chordata; Lepidosauria; Squamata; Anolidae. The record is from RNAcentral.